AAGACUUGCGUCUUCAAGGCUUGGAUGUGAGGGCUUGCUGGCUUCCUUCAGUGGACGGUCUGCUCCCUUUAAAUACAUUAGUGGGAUCUCUUGUGGACCGUCACUUGGUGUGAUAAUUAUCUAUGCCACUUGACUUUGAAACAAACUAAUGGGAACCUGCUUAUAACCGUCCCUUCGGGACAACUUAUUGACAAUUUGACCUCAAAUCAGGUAGGACUACCCGCUGAACUUAAGCAUAUCAAUAAGCGGAGGAAAAGAAACUAACAAGGAUUCCCCUAGUAACUGCGAGUGAAGCGGGAAAAGCUCAAAUUUAAAAUCUGGCGGUUCUUGUAGCCGUCCGAGUUGUAAUU
Molecule: ribosomal RNA, 350 nt
Rfam family: Eukaryotic large subunit ribosomal RNA (bases 197-350)